Molecule: ribosomal RNA, 309 nt
Filed under: uncultured bacterium
Lineage: Bacteria
Description: bacterial SSU rRNA
Rfam family: Bacterial small subunit ribosomal RNA
Source: RNAcentral
GACGAACGCUGGCGGCGCGCCUAACACAUGCAAGUCGAACGAGCGAGAGAGAGCUUGCUUUCUCGAGCGAGUGGCGAACGGGUGAGUAACGCGUGGGUAACCUGCCUCAUACAGGGGGAUAACAGUUGGAAACGGCUGCUAAUACCGCAUAAGCGCACAGUACCGCAUGGUACCGUGUGAAAAACUCCGGUGGUAUGAGAUGGACCCGCGUCUGAUUAGCUAGUUGGUGGGGUAACGGCCUACCAAGGCGACGAUCAGUAGCCGACCUGAGAGGGUGACCGGCCACAUUGGGACUGAGACACGGCCCAA